AGCGAACGCUGGCGGCAGGCUUAACACAUGCGAGUCGAACGGGCAUAGCAAUAUGUCAGUGGCAUACGGGUGAGUAACGCGUGGUAACGUACCUUUUGGUUCGGAACAACACAGGGAAACUUGUGCUAAUACCGGAUAAGCCCUUACGGGGAAAGAUUUAUCGCCGCAAGAUCGGCUCGCGUCUGAUUAGCUAGUUGGUAGGGUAAUGGCCUACCAAGGCGACGAUCAGUAGAUGGUCUGAGAGGAUGAUCAACCACAUUGGGACUGAGACACGGUCCAAACUCCUACGGGAGGCAGCAGUGGGGAAUAUUGGAAAAUCGGCGAAAGCCUGAUCCAGCCAUGCCGCGUGAGUGAUGAAGGCACUAGGGUUGUAAAGCUCUUUUGUGCGGGAAGAUAAUGACGGUACCGAAAGAAUAAGCCCCGGCUAACUUCGUG
RNAcentral lists this ribosomal RNA (435 nucleotides) under uncultured bacterium. Its description in RNAcentral is "partial 16S ribosomal RNA". It matches the Rfam family "Bacterial small subunit ribosomal RNA", at positions 29 to 507 of the family's 1533-position model. The record is from RNAcentral.